UUGAACUGAAGAGUUUGAUCCUGGCUCAGAUUGAACGCUGGCGGCAUGCCUUACACAUGCAAGUCGAACGGCAGCACGGGCUUCGGCCUGGUGGCGAGUGGCGAACGGGUGAGUAAUACAUCGGAACAUGUCCUGUAGUGGGGGAUAGCCCGGCGAAAGCCGGAUUAAUACCGCAUACGAUCUACGGAUGAAAGCGGGGGACCUUCGGGCCUCGCGCUAUAGGGUUGGCCGAUGGCUGAUUAGCUAGUUGGUGGGGUAAAGGCCUACCAAGGCGACGAUCAGUAGCUGGUCUGAGAGGACGACCAGCCACACUGGGACUGAGACACGGCCCAGACUCCUACGGGAGGCAGCAGUGGGGAAUUUUGGACAAUGGGGGCAACCCUGAUCCAGCAAUGCCGCGUGUGUGAAGAAGGCCUUCGGGUUGUAAAGCACUUUUGUCCGGAAAGAAAUCCUUGGCCCUAAUAUGGCCGGGGGAUGACGGUACCGGAAGAAUAAGCACCGGCUAACUACGUGCCAGCAGCCGCGGUAAUACGUAGGGUGCGAGCGUUAAUCGGAAUUACUGGGCGUAAAGCGUGCGCAGGCGGUUUGCUAAGACCGAUGUGAAAUCCCC
RNAcentral lists this ribosomal RNA (610 nucleotides) under Burkholderia ubonensis. RNAcentral describes it as "bacterial SSU rRNA". It matches the Rfam family "Bacterial small subunit ribosomal RNA", at positions 1 to 604 of the family's 1533-position model. Lineage: Bacteria; Pseudomonadati; Pseudomonadota; Betaproteobacteria; Burkholderiales; Burkholderiaceae. The record is from RNAcentral.